AAUCCUCUUUCCCAGUUCGUAAGACUGUCUGGGACAUUCGGAAACGGCAGCGUUUUCUACUCUCCUUACCGUGCACGCCGGCGUGAGAUCCAUUCCGCCACCGAUCCCACCUCCACCGGCACUUCCCGCGUUCAAAUCGAUUAAGCUCGUUUAUUUGCUGAUUUCUCUUCCACUUUCGUUCUGCAGCACAGUUUCCCCACACUCAGCUUAUGCUGGUCAGACUUGUGCUGCAAGAGGUUGAUUGCAUCUGGUGAAGGGGAUACUGGUGGAAUGAUGGAUACUCACGCAGAAGAUUCUGCUAGAUCUGAGGAGAAUUUUCCUGAUGUGACUCAUCAUAAUGAAGAUGGAAGCAACGGAAAUCUUAUAUUGGAAAAUGGUUUGUCUGAUGGCAAUCAAGGUCCUGCUGAUACUCAUGAUCAGCUUCUACAAAUGGUUAUGGACCUCAGGUUUCAGAAUGACUUCUUGAAGUCCCAGUUUGAGGGAUUUAAAAAUGUAGACAGUGUACAUAGUGACUCUAAUAUACAGAAAGGAGUUGGUGGCUUGGAAGAUGGGGAAUCUGACAUUGUGAAAGAACUAAAGGAUAAGAUACAAUUGUUAAAUAAAGAAUUUCUGGAAGAAAAACAAACAAGAAUUGCAUCAGAAGAGGCUUUGAAGCAUCUUCAAACGGCUUACUCAGAGGCAGAAGCAAAGGCCCAAGAGCUCUCUGAAAAGCUUGCAGAAGCUCAAACGAAGUUAGACCAAGAAGUAAAAGAGCGUGAAGAGAAGUACCUUGAACUUGAUUCCAAGUUUAAUAGGCUUCACAAACGAGCAAAACAGCGCAUUCAAGAAGUUCAAAAGGAAAAAGAUGAUCUUGAGGCCCGCUUCUCUGAGGUGAAUGAAAUUGCAGAGCGAGCAUCAUCCCAACAGUCAGCAUUGCAACAAGAAUUAGAGCGCACUAGGAAGCAAGCAAAUGAGGCAUUGAAAGCCAUGGAUGUUGACAGACAACAACUAAGAAGUGCAAACAACAAUCUUCGAGAUACCAUUGAAGAUUUAAGGCGUUCAUUGCAACCUAAAGAGAGUGCUAUUGAGGCAUUGCAACAAUCAGUUGUAGAAAAGGAACAGAUGUUGGAAGAUAUGAGAGGGUUGCUUCAGGCUGCUGAAGAAAAAAGGCAAGCGGCACUAGCUGAGCUCUCAGCUAAACAUCAAAAGAAUAUACAGAGUUUGGAGGCUCAACUUAAUGAUGCAUUGUCUGACAGAAGUAAGGCAACUGAAUCCAUUUCUUCACUGCAGGUUCUAGUUGCAGAAAAAGAAUCCAGAAUUGCAGAGAUGGAAGCGGCAUCAACAGGAGAAGCUGCACGACUCAGAGCAGCUGUGGAAAGUGUGAAAGGGGAGCUUUCUCACCUAAAAGAGGAGCAUGAAAAAGAAAGGGAAAGCUGGGAGACUGCUUCUCAGGCACUUAAAGCAAAACUUGAAAUUGCAGAGAGCAACUGCAUACGUGCAGAAGUUGAAGUAGCAAAAAUAAGAAGUCAGCUGGAAUCAGAGGUAUCCACCCAAACAAGAAUCCUCAAUAUGAGAGAUGCCGAAUUGUUGGCUGCCAAAGAAGAGAUCAGCUCUCUUGAGAAGGAAUUUUCUUCAUACAAAGUUCGUGCACAUGCACUUCUUCAAAAGAAGGAUGCUGAGCUGGCUGCUGCUAAAGAUUCUGAACAACUCAAAGCUCUAGAGGAAACUCUGAGAGAGGUGGAAAAUGAAGUAUUAUCAAUAACAGAAGAAAGGGAUAGAGUUCUUCAAGAUCUUCAAUCUGCUAUGGCUAAUCAUGAGAAAGAGAUUGCAGAAAGAGACACAGCCCUUGAAAAUGUCAAGCAACAGAUAAGGAGCUUUGAAAUAAAGCUUGACUCAGCUAAUGUUAAACACCUAAAAGAGAAAGAGGAAUGGGGACUAAGUCUUCAAAAUGUAGAAGAAACAUGGAGAAUCAGAUGCGAGGCAAUGAAGGCUGAAAAUGAAGCUACUGCUACAAAAGAUAUGCAAAAGGAAUUGGAAGAGUUCAAACAGCGAUGUAAAAAACUGAAGGAAGAACAUGCUUCAUUUCAUGAUCUUGCUGAUAGAAUGAUUGAGGAGAAAGACUAUGAAAUAUCCAGACUUAUAGAUGAAAAUAAGAAUCUUCGUCAGUCUCUUCAAUCAAGACCACCAGUCGAUCAGAAUGAUAAUUAUACAACAGCCAUGCAUAAAUUGGAUUCAACAAAUUUAAGCCCCUCAGCAGCAGAACAGCAAAUUCUGAUUUUGGCUAGACAACAAGCCCAAAGAGAGGAAGAGCUAGCACUGUCACAGCGCCAUAUUUUAGCUCUUCAAGAAGAAAUUGAGGAGCUUGAACGUGAGAAUCGUCUCCACAGCCAACAGGUUUAUACGUGUUAAAAUUUUGGAAUUGUAUUUCCAUCUGAAAAAAUGUCACAAGUGGCUCUACAAGGAGGCAAUGUUAAAGGAUGAGCUUCGCAGUAUGGAAAGAUCAAAGAAAAGGGAAGGUGUUGAUAUGACAUAUUUGAAAAAUGUUAUCUUAAAGCUGCUUGAGACUGGUGAAGUUGAGGUAUUGCUACCAGUUAUUGGAAUGCUGCUUCAGUUUAGUCCAGAAGAGAUACAGAAGUGUCAACAGGCAUAUCACAACUCCACAGAUGUUCCACCACCAAAUCCUGCAAGCGAUACUUCAGGAUCUGGCCUAUCGCUUUUCUCAAGAUUCACAUUUUCUUAAUGGCAUAAAUGGGAGUGCUGGCGAAUUUUGUUGUUGCUGUUAGAAUGUCUGCUUCUUCCAUCCAGCUCUAGGAGUAUGUUUAUUUAGUCACUGUUACUGAGAAAGCAGGUUUGUAUCUGUAAAUUAGAAGGGGGAUGGCGGGGGGAUCUUGGUUACAACAGCAAUUGUUCCAUGCAAGUGUAAAGAAACAUCAAGAGUAAUGUACAACAAAUACCACAACAGGGAGGGAGAAUUCACGGGAUGUUCUGCCUGUUAUUUAGCCAAAGAUAUAGUUCAUUUUUUACCAUUGAAUAUGUCGAGUCACAAAAUAUUACUAGAAAAUUGUAUCAUGUCUUUAUAUGAUUUUUCAAUUGGCAAUGCCAAAGGAAUGAGAAGUGUCCUUUUGAGUUCAUGUUUGCAAAUAAUCAUAAGGCAUUUUUAGUAUCACUGAGUUUUCAUGAA
RNA transcript from Glycine soja, 3160 nucleotides. It is a transcript of the gene named protein GRIP-like, with no coding region annotated. The transcript is spliced from 22 exons. Lineage: Eukaryota; Viridiplantae; Streptophyta; Magnoliopsida; Fabales; Fabaceae. The record is from RefSeq and is a predicted model, not a curated record.